RNAcentral lists this microRNA precursor (83 nucleotides) under Petromyzon marinus (sea lamprey). RNAcentral describes it as "microRNA pma-mir-4565 precursor". Lineage: Eukaryota; Metazoa; Chordata; Hyperoartia; Petromyzontiformes; Petromyzontidae. The record is from miRBase by way of RNAcentral.
CGAUGGGUUGACAUGCGAGCCGGACCUUUGCGCCUCCGCUGAUUGAGACGCAUGUGGUCGUUGUUUGCAGGGUCUGCCCGGCA